GUCUAGCAAGUAAACUGGGGUUCUCAUUCUACUCAGCACUCUCUUCGCAAUUUCUGCUGCGGGUGGCGUCCCUGCUGGAUACAGUGACCCCGACAGCGGAUACCAAGCACAGCAUAAUCCAAAAAACAGCUUUUGAAAAAGUGAACAAAGGCAGCAGACAAUUAGUAGACUGUGAAGCGGGAGAUUUUGAAUCGGGACAUUUGAGAAAAAGAAAAAGGGGAAAGAACUCGCCUGGAAGAUCACAGUAGAGAGUGAGUCCCGCCUGACUAUGGAGGUUUUGGCUUUUGGCGCCGACGCUAGAAUCAUACAUGUUAAGGACUGCCACAUGUUGAGACUCAGUGAGUCGCCUACAAACAUUAUCUUCUUCCCUCUCCACCGCCUCAGAAGCUCCAACCCGUCAAACCUUCAAAGAAAUGAACACACUUUCUCAGAGAAGAAAGCUUGAGCUGAAGGAAAGCAGGAAUGUCUAAAAUGGAAGAAAAAGGAAUGAGAAAAGUAGUACCUUGGAAGAUCACACAAGUCUGGUUUCCAAAUGUAGUUGAGGUAGGAUCGAUCUGGUCUGCCAUACUUUUGGCAGUUAAACUCAGGGUCUAUGAAGGGACAGCUUGAAGAUUCAUAAAGAGGUAAAGAAGGAUCAAAAACCCAUCUUCCCUGAAACAAAUUGCACGCCCUCUCCUGCUUCCUACUUCCCACAUUGCUUAUGUUGUAGAGAUCCUCAGCUCUUGCAGUUUGUAGUAAACAGAGAAACAGAAGUUGUAAAAGUAGGAGGGCCAGAGCUCUGAAUGGAAGACCCAUCCCAGAUUUUGGGCUCUGACUGAAAAGAAGGGAGAGCUUCGGGGAAUACAAAUAGACAGAAGCAAGUGGGUGUAUAUGGAGACAAACGAGAGAACCAGCCGAGAGGACCUUCCCUGAUUAUUAUUUUAAUCCUUGAAAAUUUUAUGCCAUGAGCUGGGAAUUGAAUUAUGUUGGCUGGAUUGAUUAAGGGAAGUACAACAGAUUUCUGGCC
Cucurbita maxima (winter squash) is the source of this 1006-nucleotide long non-coding RNA. RefSeq lists it as uncharacterized. The record is from RefSeq and is a predicted model, not a curated record. The transcript has 2 exons. Lineage: Eukaryota; Viridiplantae; Streptophyta; Magnoliopsida; Cucurbitales; Cucurbitaceae.